Molecule: long non-coding RNA, 619 nt
Organism: Conger conger (European conger)
Lineage: Eukaryota; Metazoa; Chordata; Actinopteri; Anguilliformes; Congridae
Exons: 2
Source: RefSeq, a predicted model, not a curated record
ACUUGCCAUUCUAUCACAGCUCGGUCUGGAGACAAUGCACCACAGUUCAUUGGUUGUUCUGGAAACAUUAAUUUAAAUAUUAACAGCCAACCUCAUGAUACUGGUGUGAAUGGUGUGUGUGCCCAACAGCUGUUGAGGAAAUAUUUUUGCCGCUUUUCCUCCUUGUCCCUUUUACGUGGGUGAAGUUGUAUUUGCAGCAAUGAUGUUGAAGAAACACUCAGAGUCAAUAGUUGUUAAUUACAAAUCUUUAGUUUAAAAUAAAACUGAUUCAUCUGGGGGAUUUGUGUGGUCUGUGCAAGACGCUUCAAGAGACCAGAGAAUUCCAAAGUAACAGUAGGAAAUAUCCUAGCCUUUAUACAAUAUAGCUAACCAAUCAUUUGUCAUACAAACAUCACAUUGUCUCUCUUAACCUGCCUUAAUAUUUUCUGUCACUCUAUGAAAGCUGAGCUGUCCUAACCCCUCAUCUCUGCAAUGAGUUAGGCCGCCUGGCCUGCAGACCAAAUGAAAACACUUUGGAACUAAUGUUAUGCACAGCUCAAUAUGUUUGAACAGACACACAGUUUUAAUAAAUUAUGCUGAUUUAUUAAUUUUAACAAGAUUAAAAUUAUCCUUUAAAGAU